Molecule: long non-coding RNA, 295 nt
Filed under: Olea europaea subsp. europaea
Lineage: Eukaryota; Viridiplantae; Streptophyta; Magnoliopsida; Lamiales; Oleaceae
Source: RNAcentral
CAAUUUACAAAUUAUAAUACGAUACAUCAUAAAUACACAAAUACAUAUAAUUACAUAUAGCUAGUGGACUGGGGAAGGUUGGGGGCGGGUGGGGGAGAGAUACCUGAAGGAGAUAGAGAAGGGCCUAGGACAGGGAGGGAAUUUAUUCUUGGGGAGAAUAGAGAGUAAAGAGAAAGAUGUGUUGAAGCAAGAGUGGAACUGUGAUGUGGUUGUAGUGGUUAAGUGGACUACUUUGAGUGUCGUCAUUUGUGAGGAUAUUCUCACGAGGAAACUUUCCUAUUGGUGUAGGAUACCG